Molecule: ribosomal RNA, 547 nt
Filed under: uncultured bacterium
Lineage: Bacteria
Description: bacterial SSU rRNA
Rfam family: Bacterial small subunit ribosomal RNA
Source: RNAcentral
AGAGUUUGAUCCUGGCUCAGGACGAACGCUGGCGGCGUGCUUAAUACAUGCAAGUCGAACGGGGUUUAGCCCGAGCGCGGCUUCGGCCAAGCGACGGCUAAACCUAGUGGCGAACGGGUGAGUAACGCGUGGGCAAUCUGCCCUCUUGACCGGGACAACAGUUCGAAAGGGCUGCUAAUACCGGAUACGAACAUAUGCUUGAUGGUAUAUGUUGAAAGGAUGCUUUGGCAUCGCAGGAGGAUGAGCCCGCGUCCCAUUAGCUAGUUGGUGGGGUAGCGGCCUACCAAGGCGACGAUGGGUAGCCGGCCUGAGAGGGUGGACGGCCACACUGGGACUGAGACACGGCCCAGACUCCUACGGGAGGCAGCAGUAGGGAAUUUUCCGCAAUGGGCGCAAGCCUGACGGAGCGACGCCGCGUGAGUGAAGAAGGCCUUCGGGUUGUAAAGCUCUGUCUUCAGGGACGAAAGCUUUUCAGAGGCAAUGCUGGGAAGAUGACGGUACCUGAGGAGGAAGCCCCGGCUAACUACGUGCCAGCAGCCGCGGUAAU